GCACUUCCUCUUUGGCAGGUGUACAGCACAAGGCCUGUGAUGUAAAGAUAAAUGAGGAAGCUGAGGCUCAGAGAAGGAGAAUGAAAUGCCCAAGGACUGACCGAGAGCAAGAGGCAAAGAGAGGAUUUGAAACCCUGAGGUUAUCUGGAGCACUGGUAGCCUGCUAGACCCAAAGCAUAAAAAAGUACACUUGGAUAUGAGUAACAACUUCACAAGACCCACAUGGGAAGAUUUUAUACAUGAGUUCUACAUUUUGCCAGAAGUUCAAGAGCUUUCUGAUACUCUACAUUCAAGAGGGAGGCAGAGUUUCCUAUAUGU
Molecule: non-coding RNA, 318 nt
Organism: Microcebus murinus (gray mouse lemur)
Lineage: Eukaryota; Metazoa; Chordata; Mammalia; Primates; Cheirogaleidae
Source: RefSeq, a predicted model, not a curated record